RNAcentral lists this ribosomal RNA (404 nucleotides) under Oenococcus oeni. Its description in RNAcentral is "bacterial SSU rRNA". It matches the Rfam family "Bacterial small subunit ribosomal RNA", at positions 1 to 379 of the family's 1533-position model. The record is from RNAcentral. Lineage: Bacteria; Bacillati; Bacillota; Bacilli; Lactobacillales; Lactobacillaceae.
UUAAAUUGAGAGUUUGAUCCUGGCUCAGGAUGAACGCUGGCGGCGUGCCUAAUACAUGCAAGUCGUACGCUAGCCGCUGAAUUGAUCCUUCGGGUGAAGUGAGGCAAUGACUAGAGUGGCGAACUGGUGAGUAACACGUAAGAAACCUGCCCUUUAGUGGGGGAUAACAUUUGGAAACAGAUGCUAAUACCGCGUAACAACAAAUCACACAUGUGAUCUGUUUGAAAGGUCCUUUUGGAUCGCUAGAGGAUGGUCUUGCGGCGUAUUAGCUUGUUGGUAGGGUAGAAGCCUACCAAAGCAAUGAUGCGUAGCCGAGUUGAGAGACUGGCCGGCCACAUUGGGACUGAGACACUGCCCAAACUCCUACGGGAGGCUGCAGUAGGGAAUUUUCCGCAAUGCACGAA